This 496-nucleotide ribosomal RNA is filed under the name uncultured bacterium. RNAcentral describes it as "partial 16S ribosomal RNA". It matches the Rfam family "Bacterial small subunit ribosomal RNA", at positions 28 to 507 of the family's 1533-position model. The record is from RNAcentral.
GAUGAACGCUGGCGGCGUGCCUAAUACAUGCAAGUCGAGCGAACGGACGAGAAGCUUGCUUCUCUGAUGUUAGCGGCGGACGUGUGAGUAACACGUGGAUAACCUACCUAUAAGACUGGUAUAACUUCGGGAAACCGGAGCUAAUACCGGAUAAUAUUUUGAACCGCAUGGUUCAAAAGUGAAAGACGGUCUUGCUGUCACUUAUAGAUGGAUCCGCGCUGCAUUAGCUAGUUGGUAAGGUAACGGCUUACCAAGGCAACGAUGCAUAGCCGACCUGAGAGGGGGAUCGGCCACACUGGAACUGAGCCACGGUCCAGACUCCUACGGGAGGCAGCAGUAGGGAAUCUUCCGCAAUGGGCGAAAGCCUGACGGAGCAACGCAGCGUGAGUGAUGAAGGUCUUCGGAUCGUAAAACUCUGUUAUUAGGGAAGAACAUAUGGUAAGUAACUGUGCACAUCUUGACGGUACCUAAUCAGAAAGCCACGGCUAACUACGUG